GAGGCUCUGCUUGUAGCACAGACGCUACCAUAGUCCCGAGGCUCUGUCUGGCAAGACCAGAAGCUCUGCACCUAGCAGAUGCCGCCAUAGUCCCGAGGCACCGUCUGGCAAGGCUGCCCUCACGGCAAAACAGGUUUAAUUUUGGCAGACGCCUUUCGUCAAGCAUGGUACUUCGGGCAAAUCAACCCAUCUGAAGUGCGAUACAAA
Ixodes scapularis (black-legged tick) is the source of this 207-nucleotide long non-coding RNA. RefSeq lists it as uncharacterized. The record is from RefSeq and is a predicted model, not a curated record. The transcript has 4 exons. Lineage: Eukaryota; Metazoa; Arthropoda; Arachnida; Ixodida; Ixodidae.